Panthera uncia (snow leopard) is the source of this 405-nucleotide long non-coding RNA. RefSeq lists it as uncharacterized. The record is from RefSeq and is a predicted model, not a curated record. Lineage: Eukaryota; Metazoa; Chordata; Mammalia; Carnivora; Felidae. The transcript is spliced from 2 exons.
GGAUUCUUGUUCUUAGAGUUCAGUUAUCACAUCAUGAGGAAGGGAAGAGGCUGCCUGUAAAGACUACUGCCAAGUGUCCCGGAUGACAAUCCCAGACACCAUCAACGUAAAGACAUAUGAAUGAGUGAGCCUUAAUAUGAUUCUAGCCCCAGUCAUAAUCUGACUAAAACUGCAUGAGAUACCUGAGCAAGAAUUACCUAGGAAAGCCCAGUCAACACCAAGAAAAAUGAAAGACAGUGGCUAAACCAGAACAUGGAGUGGUAAGAAGAAAUGCAUGAAGAAACAAUUACUACUAAUCCUUGAGCACCAAAUCUGGCUGGGCAAGAGUGGAAGUUGAGGCUGUGUGAAGAGGCAGAAUCUUCUAACCGAGUAUGAGAUUAAAACUUUAAUGUAGUCUGGACUGGA